RNAcentral lists this ribosomal RNA (507 nucleotides) under uncultured bacterium. RNAcentral's name for it is "bacterial SSU rRNA". It matches the Rfam family "Bacterial small subunit ribosomal RNA", at positions 28 to 494 of the family's 1533-position model. The record is from RNAcentral.
GACGAACGCUGGCGGCGUGCCUAAUACAUGCAAGUCGAACGCACUCUCGUUUAGAUUGAAGGAGCUUGCUCCUGAUUGAUAAACAUUUGAGUGAGUGGCGGACGGGUGAGUAACACGUGGGUAACCUGCCCUAAAGUGGGGGAUAACAUUUGGAAACAGAUGCUAAUACCGCAUAAAACCUAACACCGCAUGGUGUAGGGUUGAAAGAUGGUUUCGGCUAUCACUUCAGGAUGGACCCGCGGUGCAUUAGUUAGUUGGUGAGGUAAAGGCUCACCAAGACCGUGAUGCAUAGCCGACCUGAGAGGGUAAUCGGCCACACUGGGACUGAGACACGGCCCAGACUCCUACGGGAGGCAGCAGUAGGGAAUCUUCCACAAUGGACGAAAGUCUGAUGGAGCAACGCCGCGUGAGUGAAGAAGGUUUUCGGAUCGUAAAACUCUGUUGUUGGAGAAGAAUGUAUCUGAUAGUAACUGAUCAGGUAGUGACGGUAUCCAACCAGAAAGACCG